RNAcentral lists this transfer RNA (70 nucleotides) under Nicotiana sylvestris (wood tobacco). It matches the Rfam family "tRNA". From Rfam's summary of the family: Transfer RNA (tRNA) molecules are approximately 80 nucleotides in length. RNAcentral also lists the same sequence under 1 other name. Lineage: Eukaryota; Viridiplantae; Streptophyta; Magnoliopsida; Solanales; Solanaceae. The record is from Rfam by way of RNAcentral.
GCACUAGUGGUCUAGUGGUAGAGUAGUACCCUGCCAUGGUACAGACCCGGGUUCGAUUCCGUCUGGUGCA